RNAcentral lists this ribosomal RNA (1402 nucleotides) under uncultured bacterium. RNAcentral describes it as "16S ribosomal RNA". It matches the Rfam family "Bacterial small subunit ribosomal RNA". The record is from RNAcentral.
AGAGUUUGAUCCUGGCUCAGGGUGAACGCUGGCGGCGUGCUUAAGACAUGCAAGUCUAACGGGUUCUAAACGCAAGUUUAGAAUCAGUGGCGAACGGGUGAGUAAUAGAUAGGAACGUACCUCUAAGAAGGGCAUAACCCCGCGAAAGCGGGGAUAAUUCCCCAUAAUGCCUUCGGGCUAAAGACGCAAGUCACUUAGAGAGCGGCCUAUCUGCUACCAGCUAGUUGGUAGGGUAACGGCCUACCAAGGCUAUGACGGCUACCGGCUCUUAGCGGAGAGUCCGGCACAAUGGGACUGAGACACGGCCCAUACACCUACGGGUGGCAGCAGUUAGGAAUUUUGCGCAAUGGACGAAAGUCUGACGCAGCGACGCCGCGUGAGGGGUGAAGGCCUUCGGGUCGUAAACCUCUUUUGUCCCGACAUGAAGUUGGGGCGAAUAAGCAACUACUAACUACGUGCCAGCAGUCGCGGUAAUACGUAGGUUGCGAGCGUUACCCGGUUUUAUUGGGCGUAAAGAGUCUGUAGGUGGUUUUUCAAGUCCUGUUUCAAAGACUCCGACUCAAUCGGAGGCAGGGGCAGGAUACUGGGAAACUAGAGUGAUAUCGGAGUUACUGGAAUUUGUAGUGUAGGGGUAAAAUCCGUGGAUACUACAAAGAACACCAAGCGCAAAGGCGGGUAACUAGGUAUAUACUGACACUCAGAGACGAAAGCUAGGGGAGCAAAUCAGAUUAGAGACCUGAGUAGUCCUAGCCGUAAACAUUGUCUGUUAGUUCUUCUCAAUUUAUUGGGGGGGACGUAAGCUAACGCAUUAAACAGACCGCCUGGGGAGUAUAGCCGCAAGGCCGAAACUCAAACGAAUUGGCGGGGAGGCGCACAACCAGUGGAGCAUGUGGUUCAAUUCGAUACGAAGCGAUGAACCUUACCUGGGCUUGAAAUGUACCUGCAUUCGACAGAAACGUCGAAGCCUUCGAGGGUGGUACACAGGUGUUGCAUGGCUGUCGUCAGCUCGUGACGUGAGUUGUUCUCUUAAGUGAGGUAACGAGCGCAACCCCCAUCCGGUGUUAUUGUGUCACCGGAGACUGCCCAGCAUUAUUUUGUUGGGAGGAAGGAGGGGACGACGUCAAGUCAUCAUGAUCCUUAUGUCCAGGGCUACACACAUCCUACAAUGGGCUUUACAAAGGGUUGCAAGACCGCAAGGUGGAGCUAAUCCCUAAAAGAGCCCUCAGUUGGGAUUGCCGGCUGAAACCCGCCGGCAUGAACCCGGAAUUGGUAGUAAUCGCACAUCAGCAGCGUGCGGUGAAUACGUUCUCGCCUCUUGCACACACUGCCCGUCAAAUCAGCAAAGUUGGGGGCACCUGAAUUCCGACUUUUGUCGGAACAAGGUGAAUCCAGCGAUGAGGGU